GAUGAACGCUGGCGGCGUGCCUAAUACAUGCAAGUCGAGCGAACAGACGAGGAGCUUGCUCCUCUGACGUUAGCGGCGGACGGGUGAGUAACACGUGGAUAACCUACCUAUAAGACUGGGAUAACUUCGGGAAACCGGAGCUAAUACCGGAUAAUAUAUUGAACCGCAUGGUUCAAUAGUGAAAGACGGUUUUGCUGUCACUUAUAGAUGGAUCCGCGCCGCAUUAGCUAGUUGGUAAGGUAACGGCUUACCAAGGCAACGAUGCGUAGCCGACCUGAGAGGGUGAUCGGCCACACUGGAACUGAGACACGGUCCAGACUCAUACGGGAGGCAGCAGUAGGGAAUCUUCCGCAAUGGGCGAAAGAUUGACGGAGCAACGCCGCGUGAGUGAUGAAGGUCUUCGGAUCGUAAAACUCUGUUAUUAGGGAAGAACAAAUGUGUAAGUAACUAUGCACGUCUUGACGGUACCUAAUCAGAAAGCCACGGCUAACUACGUG
This 497-nucleotide ribosomal RNA is filed under the name uncultured bacterium. RNAcentral's name for it is "partial 16S ribosomal RNA". It matches the Rfam family "Bacterial small subunit ribosomal RNA", at positions 28 to 507 of the family's 1533-position model. The record is from RNAcentral.